This 468-nucleotide ribosomal RNA is filed under the name uncultured bacterium. RNAcentral's name for it is "partial 16S ribosomal RNA". It matches the Rfam family "Bacterial small subunit ribosomal RNA", at positions 27 to 507 of the family's 1533-position model. The record is from RNAcentral.
GGACGAACGCUGGCGUCGUGCUUAACACAUGCAAGUCGAACGGAAAGGCCUCUUUCGGGGGGUACUCGAGUGGCGAACGGGUGAGUAACACGUGAGUAACCUGCCCUUGACUUUGGGAUAACUUCAGGAAACUGGGGCUAAUACCGGAUAGGAGCUCCUGCUGCAUGGUGGGGGUUGGAAAGUUUCGGCGGUUGGGGAUGGACUCGCGGCUUAUCAGCUUGUUGGUGGGGUAGUGGCUUACCAAGGCUUUGACGGGUAGCCGGCCUGAGAGGGUGACCGGCGACAUUGGGACUGAGAUACGGCCCAGACUCCUACGGGAGGCAGCAGUGGGGAAUAUUGCACAAUGGGUGGAAGCCUGAUGCAGCAACGCCGUGUGCGGGAUGACGGCCUUCGGGUUGUAAACCGCUUUCGCUCAUGACGAAGCUUUGUGUGACGGUAGUGGGUAAAGAAGCACCGGCUAACUACGUG